Molecule: small nuclear RNA, 107 nt
Filed under: Salvator merianae (Argentine black and white tegu)
Lineage: Eukaryota; Metazoa; Chordata; Lepidosauria; Squamata; Teiidae
Source: RNAcentral
CUGCUUGCUUCAGCAGGACAUACACUAAAAUUGGAACAAUACAGAGAAGAUCAGAGUGGCACCUGCGCAAGGAUGAAAUCCAAAUUCAUGAAGCGUUCCAUAGUAAA